RNAcentral lists this ribosomal RNA (555 nucleotides) under Pantoea sp. Its description in RNAcentral is "bacterial SSU rRNA". It matches the Rfam family "Bacterial small subunit ribosomal RNA", at positions 56 to 599 of the family's 1533-position model. The record is from RNAcentral. Lineage: Bacteria; Pseudomonadati; Pseudomonadota; Gammaproteobacteria; Enterobacterales; Erwiniaceae.
UGCAGUCGGACGGUAGCACAGAGGGACUUGUGUUCCUUGGGUGACGAGUGGCACACGGGAGAGUAGUGUGGGGAGAUCUGCCCGAUAGAGGGAGAUAACCUGUGGAAACGGUGGCUAAUACCGCAUAACCUCACAAGACCAAAGAGGGAGACCUUCGGGCCUCUCUCUAUCAGAUGAACCCAUAUGGGAUUAUCUAAUGCGCGGGGUAGUGGCCCCCCUACGACAAUAUCCCUAUCUGGUCUGAGAAGAAGACCACCCACUCUGGAUCUGACACACGGCCCACACUCCUACGGGAGGCAGCAGUGGGGAAUAUUGCACAGUGGGCGCACCCCUGAUGCACCCGUGCCGCGUGUAUGAAAAGGGUCUUCGGGUUGUAAAGUAUUUUCCGCGGAGAAGAGGGAGACGGGGUUAAUAACCGUGUCUAGUGACUUUCCCCGCAAAAAAAACCCCGGCUAUCUCCGUGCCCACCCCCGCGGUUAUACAGAGGGUGCACGCGUUUCUCAAAUUUACUGGGCGUAAAGCGCACGCGCGCGGUCUGUUAACUCAUAUGUGAUC